Molecule: ribosomal RNA, 468 nt
Filed under: uncultured bacterium
Lineage: Bacteria
Description: partial 16S ribosomal RNA
Rfam family: Bacterial small subunit ribosomal RNA
Source: RNAcentral
GACGAACGCUGGCGGCGUGCUUAACACAUGCAAGUCGAACGGAAAGGCCCUGCUUUUGUGGGGUGCUCGAGUGGCGAACGGGUGAGUAACACGUGAGUAACCUGCCCUUGACUUUGGGAUAACUUCAGGAAACUGGGGCUAAUACCGGAUAGGAGCUCCUGCUGCAUGGUGGGGGUUGGAAAGUUUCGGCGGUUGGGGAUGGACUCGCGGCUUAUCAGCUUGUUGGUGGGGUAGUGGCUUACCAAGGCUUUGACGGGUAGCCGGCCUGAGAGGGUGACCGGCCACAUGGGGACUGAGAUACGGCCCAGACUCCUACGGGAGGCAGCAGUGGGGAAUAUUGCACAAUGGGCGGAAGCCUGAUGCAGCAACGCCGCGUGCGGGAUGACGGCCUUCGGGUUGUAAACCGCUUUCGCCUGUGACGAAGCGUGUGUGACGGUAAUGGGUAAAGAAGCACCGGCUAACUACGUG